This is a non-coding RNA of Podarcis lilfordi (Lilford's wall lizard), 80 nucleotides long. Lineage: Eukaryota; Metazoa; Chordata; Lepidosauria; Squamata; Lacertidae. The record is from the annotation of a GenBank genome assembly.
GCCUUCAAAUGGGAAAGCUCAGCCGGUAGAGCAUGAGACUCUUAAUCUUGGGGUCGUGGGUUCAGGCCCCACAUUGGGCA